This 463-nucleotide ribosomal RNA is filed under the name uncultured bacterium. RNAcentral describes it as "partial 16S ribosomal RNA". It matches the Rfam family "Bacterial small subunit ribosomal RNA", at positions 28 to 507 of the family's 1533-position model. The record is from RNAcentral.
GAUGAACGCUGACAGAAUGCUUAACACAUGCAAGUCUUUGGCGAAGCUGUGCUUGCACAGCCUAGCCAAGGCGGACGGGUGAGUAACGCGUAAGGAACUUGCCCUGCAGACAGGGAUAACAGACGGAAACGACUGAUAAGACCUGGUAAAGUCAGGCGGACUCAUGUCCAGCCUGAUGAAAAGAGAUGCUGCAGGAGAGCCUUGCGUCCUAUUAGCUUGUUGGUGGGGUAACGGCCCACCAAGGCGAUGAUAGGUAGCCGGCCUGAGAGGGUGGACGGCCACAAGGGGACUGAGAUACGGCCCUUACUCCUACGGGAGGCAGCAGUGGGGAAUAUUGGACAAUGGGGGCAACCCUGAUCCAGCAAUUCUGUGUGCACGAUGAAGGUUUUCGGAUUGUAAAGUGCUUUCAGCAGGGAAGAAAAAAAUGACGGUACCUGCAGAAGAAGCGACGGCUAAAUACGUG